RNAcentral lists this non-coding RNA (29 nucleotides) under Mus musculus (house mouse). The record is from RNAcentral. Lineage: Eukaryota; Metazoa; Chordata; Mammalia; Rodentia; Muridae.
UGCCACUUCACACAAUUUUGUGAUUUUGU